AAUAGACACUAAAAACCUAGCAAAAUCCCUAUUGAAAUUAACAAAAAUAUUGACAUGUCUAAUGAUCAAAGAGCUCUAGUCUUAUCAAGUAACAACAAUAAUAGAGACAACAAUCACGAAGAUCAAGAUCAGAAUCAGAAUCUUCGAGAUGAUGAUAUCAGAGAUAUCCAUGCUAUGACACCACCACAACCACCAGUACCACCAAUCAUGACAAAUAUUAAUCGUGGACGAAGGAGGGAAGCUUGGGA
RNAcentral lists this unclassified non-coding RNA (248 nucleotides) under Hevea brasiliensis (rubber tree). The record is from RNAcentral. Lineage: Eukaryota; Viridiplantae; Streptophyta; Magnoliopsida; Malpighiales; Euphorbiaceae.